RNAcentral lists this unclassified non-coding RNA (340 nucleotides) under Zea mays. Its description in RNAcentral is "misc RNA Zm00001eb033020". Lineage: Eukaryota; Viridiplantae; Streptophyta; Magnoliopsida; Poales; Poaceae. The record is from RNAcentral.
GUUCUGCCAUUCCCAUUCCCCCCUCCUCGCACUGUCUUUCUCAUUCUCCCCUCUCCACAAAGCUCAUUCCCAUUCUCGGCUGUCAUUCCGUCUUUCUCAUUCCUCCCUCCCCGUAAAUCUCAUUCCCAUUCCCACGUGCAUCUCACGCCUAGCUAAAAUUAAAUUAAAAAAACAUAAAUAUGGCCCCAAUAGGAUUCGAACCUGCGACCUCUCAAGCAAAUGUGCUCGUAGCUACCACUACAUCACAUGUGUGUUUAUGUCAAUAUUUGUUACAGUAAAAAUAUCUACUACAUCUCUCUCAAAGCCUACCUGCUACCUUUGCACAAUGUGUAGUAGUAGA